UGGGGAAUUUUCCGCAAUGGCCGCAAGGCUGACGCAGCGACGCCGCGUGUGGGAGGACGCCCUUCGGGGUGUAAACCACUGUCAGGGGGGAAGAACUCCGCAGGUGCGAAUAGCGCUUGCGGGUGACGGUACCCCCAGAGGAAGCGCCGGCUAACUCCGUGCCAGCAGCCGCGGUAAGACGGAGGGCGCGAGCGUUGUUCGGAAUUACUGGGCGUAAAGGGCGGGCAGGCGGUUUGUUAAGUCUUUUGUGAAAAUCCGGGGCUCAACCCCGGGAAAUGCAGGAGAUACUGGCAGACUCGAGACCGGUAGAGGCUAGCGGAAUUCCUGGUGUAGCGGUGGAAUGCGUAGAUAUCAGGAAGAACACCUGUGGCGAAGGCGGCUAGCUGGGCCGGUUCUGACGCUGAUCCGCGAAAGCGUGGGGAGCAAACAGGAUUAGAUACCCGUGUAGUCC
RNAcentral lists this ribosomal RNA (451 nucleotides) under uncultured prokaryote. Its description in RNAcentral is "bacterial SSU rRNA". It matches the Rfam family "Bacterial small subunit ribosomal RNA", at positions 355 to 796 of the family's 1533-position model. The record is from RNAcentral.